UUGGAGGGCAAGUCUGGUGCCAGCAGCCGCGGUAAUUCCAGCUCCAAUAGCGUAUAUUAAAGUUGUUGCAGUUAAAAAGCUCGUAGUUGAAUUUCAGGCCUGGCUGGACGGUCCGCCCUUCGGGUGAGUACUGUCUGUGGUCGGGUCCUACCUUCUGGCGAAGCGUCAUGGCCUUAACCGGCCGUGGCGGGGAACCAGGACUUUUACUGUGAAAAAAUUAGAGUGUUCAAAGCAGGCAAUCGCUUGGAUACAUUAGCAUGGAAUAAUGGAAUAGGACAAUGGUUCUAUUUGUUGGUUUCUAGGACCGUUGUAAUGAUUAAUAGGGAUAGUUGGGGGCAUUAGUGUUCAAUUGUCAGAGGUGAAAUUCUUGGAUUUAUUGAAGACUAACUACUGCGAAAGCAUUUGCCAAGGAUGUUUUCAUUAAUCAGUGAACGAAAGUUAGGGGAUCGAAGACGAUCAGAUACCGUCGUAGUCUUAACCAUAAACUAUGCCGACUAGGGAUCGGACGGUGUUAGUAUUUUGACCCGUUCGGCACCUUACGGGAAACCAAAG
RNAcentral lists this ribosomal RNA (552 nucleotides) under uncultured Paraglomus. RNAcentral's name for it is "SSU rRNA". It matches the Rfam family "Eukaryotic small subunit ribosomal RNA", at positions 548 to 1103 of the family's 1831-position model. The record is from RNAcentral. Lineage: Eukaryota; Fungi; Glomeromycota; Glomeromycetes; Paraglomerales; Paraglomeraceae.